RNAcentral lists this ribosomal RNA (465 nucleotides) under uncultured bacterium. RNAcentral describes it as "partial 16S ribosomal RNA". It matches the Rfam family "Bacterial small subunit ribosomal RNA", at positions 28 to 507 of the family's 1533-position model. The record is from RNAcentral.
GACGAACGCUGGCGGCGUGCUUAACACAUGCAAGUCGAACGGUAAGGCUCCAGCUUGCUGGGGUACACGAGUGGCGAACGGGUGAGUAACACGUGGGGGACCUGCCCUGCACUUCGGGGUAUGCCUUGGGAACUGGGUCUAAUACCGGAUAGGACAGCACCGAGCGGGUGGGGUGGAAAGUUUUUGCGGUGUGGGUUGGGCCGGCGGCCGAUCAGCUUGUUGGUGGGGUAGUGGGCUACGAAGGCGGAGACGGGUGGCCGGCCGGAGAGGGGGGACGGCCACAUUGGUACUGAGACACGGCGCAGACUCCUACGGUAGGCAGCAGUGGGGAGUCUUGCACAAUGAGCGGAAGCCUGAUGCAGCGACGCCGCGUGCGGGAUGACGGCCUUCGGGUUGUAAACUCCUUUCUCCGUCGACGAAGGGUUUCUGACGGUAGAUGGAGAAGAAGCACCGGCUAACUACGUG